CAGGGGGUAGUUUACUAAAGAUAUUAAAUUUGGGGUUUAAUGAUGGAAAGAUUUUCCUUCCCUGA
RNAcentral lists this transfer RNA (65 nucleotides) under Scelimena sp. 1 JL-2023a. RNAcentral describes it as "tRNA-Pro". Lineage: Eukaryota; Metazoa; Arthropoda; Insecta; Orthoptera; Tetrigidae. The record is from RNAcentral.